GCAUCGGUGGUUCAGUGGUAGAAUGCCUGCCUGCCACGCGGGCGGCCCGUUCGAUUCCCGUCCGAUGCA
Molecule: transfer RNA, 69 nt
Filed under: Trichonephila inaurata madagascariensis
Lineage: Eukaryota; Metazoa; Arthropoda; Arachnida; Araneae; Nephilidae
Rfam family: tRNA
About the family: Transfer RNA (tRNA) molecules are approximately 80 nucleotides in length. Their secondary structure includes four short double-helical elements and three loops (D, anti-codon, and T loops).
Source: Rfam by way of RNAcentral